GACGAACGCUGGCGGCGUGCUUAACACAUGCAAGUCGAACGGUAAAGCCCUUCGGGGUACACGAGUGGCGAACGGGUGAGUAACACGUGGGUGAUCUGCCCUGCACUUCGGGAUAAGCCUGGGAAACUGGGUCUAAUACCGGAUAGGACCACUGCCUGCAUGGGUGGGGGUGGAAAGCUUUUGCGGUGUGGGAUGGGCCCGCGGCCUAUCAGCUUGUUGGUGGGGUGAUGGCCUACCAAGGCGACGACGGGUAGCCGGCCUGAGAGGGUGACCGGCCACACUGGGACUGAGAUACGGCCCAGACUCCUACGGGAGGCAGCAGUGGGGAAUAUUGCACAAUGGGCGCAAGCCUGAUGCAGCGACGCCGCGCGAGGGAUGACGGCCUUCGGGUUGUAAACCUCUUUCAGCACCGACGAAGCGCAAGUGACGGUAGGUGCAGAAGAAGGACCGGCCAACUACGUGCCAGCCGCCGCCGUAA
This 478-nucleotide ribosomal RNA is filed under the name uncultured bacterium. Its description in RNAcentral is "partial 16S ribosomal RNA". It matches the Rfam family "Bacterial small subunit ribosomal RNA", at positions 28 to 523 of the family's 1533-position model. The record is from RNAcentral.